UACGGAGGGGGCUAGCGUUGUUCGGAAUUACUGGGCGUAAAGCGCACGUAGGCGGCUUUGUAAGUUAGAGGUGAAAGCCCGGGGCUCAACUCCGGAAUUGCCUUUAAGACUGCAUCGCUAGAAUUGUGGAGAGGUAAGUGGAAUUCCGAGUGUAGAGGUGAAAUUCGUAAAUAUUCGGAAGAACACCAGUGGCGAAGGCGGCUCACUGGUCCGGUACUGACGCUGAUGUGCGAAAGCGUGGGGAGCAAACAGG
Molecule: ribosomal RNA, 253 nt
Filed under: uncultured bacterium
Lineage: Bacteria
Description: partial 16S ribosomal RNA
Rfam family: Bacterial small subunit ribosomal RNA
Source: RNAcentral